Molecule: ribosomal RNA, 480 nt
Filed under: uncultured bacterium
Lineage: Bacteria
Description: partial 16S ribosomal RNA
Rfam family: Bacterial small subunit ribosomal RNA
Source: RNAcentral
GACGAACGCUGGCGGCGUGCUUAACACAUGCAAGUCGAACGAUGAAGCAAAGAAUCGAAGCUUCGGCAGAAAUUCAUUUCGGAUUAGUGGCAGACGGGUGAGUAACGCGUGAGCAACCUACCUCUUACAAAGGGAUAGCCUCGGGAAACCGGGAUUAAUACCAUAUAACAUUGCGACGAAGCAUUUCGAUGCAAUCAAAGCUACGGCGGUAAGAGAUGGGCUCGCGUCCCAUUAACCGGAUGGUGAGGUAACGGCUCACCAUAGUGACGAUGGGUAACCGGCCUGAGAGGGUGAACGGUCACACUGGAACUGAGACACGGUCCAGACUCCUACGGGAGGCAGCAGUGGGGAAUAUUGCACAAUGGAGGGAACUCUGAUGCAGCGACGCCGCGUGAGUGAUGAAGGAAUUCGUUUCGUAAAACUCUGCUCUAUGGGAAGAAAAGGACUGUACCAUAGGAGAAAGCUCCGGCUAAAUACGUG